GAGAGGUGAGUGAGAGAGGAGUGAGAGGAGAGAGGAGUGAGAGGAGUGAGAGAGGAGUGAGAAGUGAGAGAGGAGUGAGAGGAGAGAGGAGAGAGAGGAGUGAGAGAGGAGUGAGAGGAGUGAGAGAGGAGUGAGACAGGAGUGAGGUGAGUGAGUGGCCUGAGCGCUCAUGCUGUCUGUAGUGGGCGUGACCUGAGCGUCCCUGUUGUGUCUAGUGGGCGUGGUCUGAACACUCCUGUUGUGUCUAGUGGGCGUGGCCUGUCCAGUGCUUUUAGCUCUGAUGAGAGUGUACUCGGCAUGAUGCGGCGUACAGCACACGCUGCACUACACUACACCUUUACUUUGGUUUAAAUACAUUUCCUUCCCUGAUAUCAGCUGUUAGGUUUACAUUACGUUCCAGUAGGCGUAUUAGCUUGCUAGCAGAUUAGCAGCACAAGCUAACUGUACUAGCUACGUACACUCACAACACACACCUCUGCUACUUCCUUCCCAGCUUUCUUUCCCCCCUGAUACGACAGGAGAAGAUGAAACCACGCUGAAGCGGUUUCUUCCAGUUUUGUGGGAACUAACUGCUGUAGAUGAAGCUGUGAGCGCGGAAGUGAAGGAACGUCGCAGCACACACACACAUGCACUGUAUCACAACUCCGUAUCUAGGAAAAAAUACAAAAAGUAGUUUUGGAGAUAUUCUUGGAAAACAAUUCAAUUAUUUUGCUGAUUAAUCCCACACUAGUAUUGUGUUUGUCCAAUUCAAUCAACCCGAGAAGGUAUAUGCUCCGCCCCUGGGGGGCGUGUCUUGCUCUACAGUAGCAGCUUGUUAGCAGUAAACACGAUUCAUCUCUGUGCUUUUGAGGUUUUUGCGGCUGCUGAUUGGUCGACUGCUACGACACCCAUUACACCUAAACCCAUGUCCAGUACAGCAUUAAUACUCUUUCUUUCCUUCUUUCUUUUUAUUGAAAUACUAAAAGAACAGAGUUAAUGACAAUUAUAUGAAAGAAAAAGAAAGAAAGAAACAAUACAGUCAGAGAGAGAAAAAUAUAGAAAAGAGAGACUGAGAGAGAGAAUGAGGUGGAAAAAAGAAAAAGAAGAAAGAAACGAUUAAAGGAAAAGUGAGAUACAGGGAAAGAGAAAAAAGGGAUGUAAAAACUAAACAAGGAAAGAAAGAUGAGUCAGUGAAGAGAAAAAGAACGAGUGAAAAAGGAAGAAUGAGGGACAGAAGGGAAGUAGGAAGAAAAAAAGAAAAGAGAAUGACAGCCAUGAGAGAGAGAGAGAGAGAGAGAGAGAGAGAGAGAGAGAGAGAGAGAUAGAGACAGUAGGAAAGAGAAUGAGAAAUAUUUAGACAAGAGAGGACAAGAGAAAGACCAACUCAAGGAAAAUAAAAAGAAAAGAAAGAAGGGAAUAAAAAAGAGAGUGUACACAAAAAGAGAGAAAAGCAGAGCAUAAGAGAGUAGGACUUCUUGAGAGAGAGACAGAGAGAGAGAGAGAGAGAGAGAGAGAAGGAAAGUUGUGAUAGCAAGACAAACAUGUACAAAGAAAGAAAGAAAAAGAAUAAUGAUAGUCAUAGAAGCAGAGGGAGUGAGGGAGAGAGAGAGGACAGAUGGGAGAAAGAAGGGAAUAAACAAAAAGAGAGAGAGUGAGAUUAAAGUGGGGAGGGGCAGUGGGGGGGGGGGGGCGUGAUGGUUAGACGGUUCAGUAAUCAGACAGACAGGUAGCCUCACUGAGACCAGCUUAAUGAAGAGCAAGUCCACUCAGCUGUGUGUUCUCUGACCCCAACACACACACACGCACACACACGCACACACACACACACACACACACACACACACACACACACACACACACACACACACACACACUGCUGAUUUGAUCUUGUGGCUCAGCUCGGUGUUAACUGGAAAACUCUGAGGAAAUCUCUCCUCAGUGUCUCAGGAGAGUUUACAUUAAAGCGGCGGUUAGCAACAUCGCUAGGCUGCUUUAACGUGUUUUUUAGCUGUGUAAUGAUGCACUCUGGAACAGUGUUAAUGUUGUUAGCAUUGUGCUGCACAUUGUAUUAAUGGGAUCUGUCGGCAUUGUACCGGCUAAUUUAUGCUAGCACAGGUAUGGUAGUGCUAACAGCAGGAACCACUGGAGCAGGCUACAACUGUAAAUACACUAACAAACACACAACAUGGGGUCAUGGUACAAUUCCUCAGCUCGCCAUCCACCUGGCCACGCCCCUCAGUUCUCUGUAUAUUUAUCCACCUGGCCACGCCCCUCAGGUCUCUGUAUAUUUAUCCACCUGGCCACGCCCCUCAGUUCUCUGUAUAUUUAUCCACCAGGCCCCACCCCCUCAGUUCUCUGUAUAUUUAUCCACCAGGCCCCACCCCCUCAGGUCUCUGUAUAUUUAUCCACCCAGCCACGCCCCUCAGUUCUCUGUAUAUUUAUCCACCAGGCCCCACCCCCUCAGGUCUCUGUAUAUUUAUCCACCCGGCCACGCCCCUCAGUUCUCUGUAUAUUUAUCCACCUGGCCACGCCCCUCAGUUCUCUGUAUAUUUAUCCACCUGGCCCCACCCCCUCAGUUCUCUGUAUAUUUAUCCACCUGGCCACGCCCCUCAGUUCUCUGUAUAUUUAUCCACCUGGCCACGCCCCUCAGGUCUCUGUAUAUUUAUCCACCUGGCCCCACCCCCUCAGUUCUCUGUAUAUUUAUCCACCUGGCUAUGCCCCUCAGGUCUCUGUAUAUUUAUCCACCUGGCCACGCCCCUCAGUUCUCUGUAUAUUUAUCCACCUGGCCACGCCCCUCAGUUCUCUGUAUAUUUAUCCACCUGGCCCCACCCCCUCAGGUCUCUGUAUAUUUAUCCACCAGGCCCCACCCCCUCAGUUCUCUGUAUAUUUAUCCACCUGGCCCCUCCCCCUCAACUCUUUAGCUAUUGAUUUGGCUCCUCCCCCUCAGCUACAAUUUUUUAAAGAAUGUUAAACAAGCAAAUAUCUGGUUUUCACAUUUUACAGAGAAACUCCUGAGAUGGCAACAGACACACCACAAAUCACACCCACACACACAGAAAAUCAUUUACUGUCGGCCACACCCUGUGUGUGUAUGUGUAGUUCAGACAGGUAUCUGGAGCUUGCCCAGCUGUAGCAGCUUGGUGCAAACCAUCGUGGGUACACACAGCAGAGUGGUGUUUCCACGGCAAUACCAAUCCGCAAACGACGAGCAGCCGAACCGAGCGCUGUGUGUGUGUUUGUGUGUGUGUGAGUGUGUCUGUGUCUCUGUGUGUCUGUGAGUGGGUGUGUGUGAAUGUGUGUGUGUGUGUGUGUGUGUGUUGUUAGCGAUAUUAGGCUUUAAUGUUUAUAUUUCUAGAAGUUUUGUGGAGUUGUUGAGGAGACUGAAGGUGAAGGUGUUAAAGGUGAAAUCAGCUGGUAAUUUCAUAACACACACAGUGGGAGCUGCAUUUGAUUUAAAACAAUAUACACUCAGUAGAUGUUAAUUACAUUUAUAACUCAGCUCAGGGACAGAGAAAUCAAAUCCAACACACACACACACACACACACACACACACACACACACACACACACACACACACACACACGUGUUUAAAGCUGCACACACUGUGCUGUAAAAUUAAGUGUCGUUCAACAUAACAUUUUAUUCUCAGAUGUUUUUGCUUUAUUGUGUUACUUUUUAAGGAAGAAAGGGGGAGAUGGAGAGGAUGCACAGGAGAAAGAGAAAGAGAGACAUUAAACGAGUGUGAAUUCUCGAGAGAGAAGAAAAGGUGUACACAGAGAAAUAAAGGAAGAGAAAGGACAAUAAAAGGAAGGAAGAAAAGAGAUGACCAUCAUAGAAGGAGAGAGAGAAAGCGAAAGGUAGGGUGAGAGAGACAGGCAGACAGACAGACAGACAGACAGACAGGCAGGAAGGCAGACAGACAGACAGGCAGGCAGGCAGGAAGGCAGGCAGACAGACAGACAGACAGACAGACAGACAGACAGACAGA
This is a long non-coding RNA of Ictalurus punctatus (channel catfish), 3968 nucleotides long. RefSeq lists it as uncharacterized. NCBI's taxonomy places the organism in Eukaryota, Metazoa, Chordata, Actinopteri, Siluriformes, Ictaluridae. The transcript has 2 exons. The record is from RefSeq and is a predicted model, not a curated record.